GGCCUUGUGGUUUAGAGGUAUAAUUCUCGCUUGUAAGCAUACCAACGUCGCUCGAGUCACCAUGUUCGAUUCCCACUAACAACGCCAAUAGCGGGAAGUUCUUCCCGGUCUUCUUCUGAGGAUCAGAAAAUGUGAGAGGUCCCGGGUUCGAAUCCCGGCAAGGCCC
RNAcentral lists this transfer RNA (166 nucleotides) under Coniochaeta ligniaria NRRL 30616. It matches the Rfam family "tRNA". Rfam says of the family: Transfer RNA (tRNA) molecules are approximately 80 nucleotides in length. Their secondary structure includes four short double-helical elements and three loops (D, anti-codon, and T loops). Further hydrogen bonds mediate the characteristic L-shaped molecular structure. tRNAs have two regions of fundamental functional importance: the anti-codon, which is responsible for specific mRNA codon recognition, and the 3' end, to which the tRNAs corresponding amino acid is attached (by aminoacyl-tRNA synthetases). tRNAs cope with the degeneracy of the genetic code in two manners: having more than one tRNA (with a specific anti-codon) for a particular amino acid; and 'wobble' base-pairing, i.e. permitting non-standard base-pairing at the 3rd anti-codon position. Lineage: Eukaryota; Fungi; Ascomycota; Sordariomycetes; Coniochaetales; Coniochaetaceae. The record is from Rfam by way of RNAcentral.